AUCCAUGUUGGCCAAGUUGGCUCUCUAGUUCUAACGCGUUUCACAAAAUUUGAAGAUAAUUGUUCAAUGGAAUAAUGGUGACAGCUGAGCAUUGACUAAUGCAAGAGCCAACAAGGGGUAUUGGGGCUCUUUAGCCCCAUCCUGAAAUGAGCGGAUAAUACUAUUAGAUCCAUAUAGAUCUAAUUUUUUUGCAUCCUUCCAAAAUUAAACAAGCAAAGUUUUUAGCAGAACACUUUGACGAUGACGAAGCUAACAUUGGUGCUAGCUAACAUCAAAUUAUUGAAGGGAUAUAUAAUAUAUUUUAAGUUUUAUGAUUCUGCAUAGUACAGUAGUUGUGAGACUGGGACUCUCACAAUGGGCAAGCCACAUGCAGUUGACCCAAAGCUUCUAAGAAAUAUGGUACUUACAGAAUUUUACGAGUUGAUCGCUGCAGCAGAGGUAAAUAGGAAGCAUCCUUUGGCCAAGGCGAUUGUAGAGUAUGCUAAGAAAUUUAGAGAGGAUGUGGAAAAUCCUGUCUAGCCCGAGGCUCGAGACUUGAAUCUAUUACUGGACAUGGUUUGAAAGCUGUUGUUCAUAAUAAAGAGAUAAAUGUGGAACAAGAGCCUGAUGUUGGAUCUCACCAUUAGUAUUCCAAUUGAUGCAGAGGAAAUGCUUGCAGAAGCUGAAGGAAUGGCUCAAAGUGGGAUUCUUGUGUCAAUAUAAACUGCCAAGCACCCCUUUGGAAUUGUUGACGUAAGAUCAGGAUUUAUGUCUUUCAGAUACGAGCAAAGUCCAUUUGUCUGUAUGGUUAAAAAAUCAAUUUUUUUUAUCAGAAAAAAAAUAAUCAAUUUUUAUUUUCAAUGUGUUCCAAGGUAGAUGACGAAGAGAUGUAUUCAGAACGAUGUCUGGUUACGGAUUUGCUUAAAUUUAUUAAUAUAUGGCAUACAGAUACCUUUCAGAAUUCAGACAAGAGUUUAGCAUAACUAGAGAGCAUCAAGUUGAAUGGAUAAUAAUGGCUUUAGCU
This is a long non-coding RNA of Daucus carota subsp. sativus, 1003 nucleotides long. RefSeq lists it as uncharacterized. The record is from RefSeq and is a predicted model, not a curated record. NCBI's taxonomy places the organism in Eukaryota, Viridiplantae, Streptophyta, Magnoliopsida, Apiales, Apiaceae. The transcript has 3 exons.